This 527-nucleotide ribosomal RNA is filed under the name Alloxytropus elias. RNAcentral's name for it is "partial 16S ribosomal RNA". It matches the Rfam family "Bacterial large subunit ribosomal RNA", at positions 1808 to 2606 of the family's 2925-position model. The record is from RNAcentral. Lineage: Eukaryota; Metazoa; Arthropoda; Insecta; Diptera; Scenopinidae.
CAAAAACAUGUCUUUUUGUUAUUUAUUUAAAGUCUAAUCUGCCCACUGAUAAUUUAAAUGGCCGCAGUAUUUUAACUGUGCAAAGGUAGCAUAAUCAUUAGUCUCUUAAUUAGAGGCUUGUAUGAAUGGUUGGACGAAAUAUAUGCUGUUUCAAUUAAAUUGAUAUUGAAUUUUAUUUUUCAGUCAAAAAGCUGAGAUUAAGAUAAAAGACGAGAAGACCCUAUAGAUCUUUAUAAUUGCUGGUUUUUAGCUUUUAAGAUUAAUUCUGUUAUGAAUUUUGUAAUUAUUUUGUUGGGGUGACAUUAAAAUUUAUAUAACUUUUAUAUUUUAUUACAUUUAUUUAUGAAUAAAAUUGAUCCGGUAUUACUGAUUAAUAAAUUAAGUUACCUUAGGGAUAACAGCGUAAUUUUUUUAGAGAGUUCAUAUCGAAAAAAGAGAUUGCGACCUCGAUGUUGGAUUAAGAGAGAACCUAGGUGUAGAAGUUUAGGUUUUCAAGUCUGUUCGACUUUUAAUAUCUUACAUGAUCU